AUGACACUGUAUUCCCUACGGACAUUUAUUUUUUGGAAACAAGUGUUAGAAUAUUGGGUGCUGGUACAUAUGCACAAUAACUUAAGUAUGUCCCUAGGAACACUAAAUGAUCAGCAAUCGUACAAAGGGCUUCCAUUCCACAUCCAUGGCCACUGCUGGGAGUCGAUUGGUGGUGUUCAUGUUCUGAAAUGCUACUUUUAUAGAUUAGGUAAGUGUAUUCCUCAUUUUGUGCUCUUGUGUGUGCACAGUGCAGAUAUGAAUUCUGCCUGUAUUCAAUUUUAUAAAUUAAUUGAACAUUCUAAUAAUUGA
This 309-nucleotide ribosomal RNA is filed under the name Triticum aestivum (bread wheat). RNAcentral describes it as "partial small subunit ribosomal RNA". Lineage: Eukaryota; Viridiplantae; Streptophyta; Magnoliopsida; Poales; Poaceae. The record is from RNAcentral.